AAAAUCCCCUGGCCUAAAAGCAUAGCCUUUCUGCUAGUGUGCCUGUAGAGUGUGCACACGCCUGGAAGGCCACUUUGGCAUCACAUGUCUGUGCCACAGACUAAGCUUCGGCCUUGACGUAGCCAAGGCUGUACCUUCAGGUAGCUUGGCCUGUCCAUCGGUGCUACCACUGGAGUAGGUUGUGCUGCUGUCUUGUCUUUCCUUGUUUGUUUCCCUUUCUAACCUAUUGUGGUUUGUUUUUGUCUUUCA
Engraulis encrasicolus (European anchovy) is the source of this 249-nucleotide long non-coding RNA. RefSeq lists it as uncharacterized. The record is from RefSeq and is a predicted model, not a curated record. Lineage: Eukaryota; Metazoa; Chordata; Actinopteri; Clupeiformes; Engraulidae. The transcript has 3 exons.